AUCCUAGUAGCUUAAUUGGCAAAGCGGCGCGGUAGUGCACCUGCGGUCACGAUUCGGGUUCGAAUCCCGACUAGGGUA
RNAcentral lists this transfer RNA (78 nucleotides) under Latilactobacillus curvatus. Its description in RNAcentral is "Lactobacillus curvatus tRNA-His". It matches the Rfam family "tRNA". Rfam says of the family: Transfer RNA (tRNA) molecules are approximately 80 nucleotides in length. Their secondary structure includes four short double-helical elements and three loops (D, anti-codon, and T loops). Further hydrogen bonds mediate the characteristic L-shaped molecular structure. tRNAs have two regions of fundamental functional importance: the anti-codon, which is responsible for specific mRNA codon recognition, and the 3' end, to which the tRNAs corresponding amino acid is attached (by aminoacyl-tRNA synthetases). tRNAs cope with the degeneracy of the genetic code in two manners: having more than one tRNA (with a specific anti-codon) for a particular amino acid; and 'wobble' base-pairing, i.e. permitting non-standard base-pairing at the 3rd anti-codon position. The record is from RNAcentral. Lineage: Bacteria; Bacillati; Bacillota; Bacilli; Lactobacillales; Lactobacillaceae.